Molecule: ribosomal RNA, 519 nt
Filed under: uncultured eukaryote
Lineage: Eukaryota
Description: SSU rRNA
Rfam family: Eukaryotic small subunit ribosomal RNA
Source: RNAcentral
AGGGCACCACCAGGAGUGGAGCCUGCGGCUUAAUUUGACUCAACACGGGAAACCUCACCCGGCCCGGACACGGACAGGAUUGACAGAUCGAUAGCUCUUUCUCGAUUCCGUGGGUGGUGGUGCAUGGCCGUUCUUAGUUGGUGGAGCGAUUUGUCUGGUUAAUUCCGAUAACGAACGAGACUCUGGCAUGCUAACUAGUUACGCGACCCCCCGAGCGGUCGGCGUCCCCCAACUUCUUAGAGGGACAAGUGGCGUUCAGCCACCCGAGAUUGAGCAAUAACAGGUCUGUGAUGCCCUUAGAUGUCCGGGGCUGCACGCGCGCUACACUGACUGGCUCAGCGUGUGCCUACCCUACGCCGGCAGGCGCGGGUAACCCGUUGAACCCCAUUCGUGAUGGGGAUCGGGGAUUGCAAUUAUUCCCCAUGAACGAGGAAUUCCCAGUAAGUGCGGGUCAUAAGCUUGCGUUGAUUAAGUCCCUGCCCUUCGUACACACCGCCCGUCGCCACUACCGAUUGGAUG